GGGCCGGUAGCUCAGCCUGGUUAGAGCGCACGCCUGAUAAGCGUGAGGUCGUUGGUUCAACUCCAACCCGGCCCA
RNAcentral lists this transfer RNA (75 nucleotides) under Candidatus Palauibacterales bacterium. RNAcentral describes it as "tRNA-Ile". It matches the Rfam family "tRNA". Rfam says of the family: Transfer RNA (tRNA) molecules are approximately 80 nucleotides in length. Lineage: Bacteria; Pseudomonadati; Gemmatimonadota; Gemmatimonadia; Candidatus Palauibacterales. RNAcentral also lists the same sequence under 1 other name. The record is from RNAcentral.